Molecule: ribosomal RNA, 882 nt
Filed under: Transvena pichelinae
Lineage: Eukaryota; Metazoa; Acanthocephala; Palaeacanthocephala; Transvenidae
Description: partial large subunit ribosomal RNA
Rfam family: Eukaryotic large subunit ribosomal RNA
Source: RNAcentral
UUAAGCAUAUUACUAAGCAGAAGAAAAGAAACUAACAAGGAUACUGUCCGUAAUGGCGAAUGAACACUGUUUUACCAUUAUUGAACCUUACAUCUGAUCGAUGUAUGGAGUGUAAUAUUGGUGUGAAUCGUUUUGAAAGUCGGGGUACUGAAAGUUUGACUGAUUGCAACUUUUCAUAGAGGGUGAAAGUCCCGUAUCUGUACCUAACGACUCUCAUAUGUUUCACGCAUGAGUAAAGUUGUUUCAAACUGCAGCUUGAAUAUACGUGGUGAACUCCAUGUAAGACUGAAUAUUGUCGCGAGACCGAUAGCAAACAAGUACCGUGAGGGAAAGUUGAAAAGUACUCUGAAAAGAGAGUGAACAAGCCUGUGCAACUGUACAUUGCAAAGCGAAUGACAGAAAGUGCAAACUCGUUAUCCCACUUCUUGUUUGUUCGUAUAUGGUGUUUUACCUUUAAAGAGCAACAAGUCUGUUGGUUUGGGAGUUUUGCUCAUGUAAUGCCAACCGAGAACGGUGUGUAACAAGCGAAUAAGUAUUUUUCUAUGCUUGUUGUUUGUUACGGUUUAGUGUGUUAUACACUUUAACGGAUAUGGUUGGUAUUUUUCACAUACAUGAUAUUUAUUCAGGUACGCAUGAUUUGUGUAUAGAAUUGUCGAGUUUGAUUGGUGCAUGAGCUGUGUUAUCUGUCAUCCGAACCGUCUUGAAACACGGACCAAGGAGUUCAACUUGAGCGCAAGUCGACUUCAUGAUAAACGGUUGAGGCGCAGUGAAAGCAAUCAUGCAAUGAAUGUUAACGGAUGUUGAUUUGAAGCUGACGGUUAGCACAUGAUCUGGGUGGCAAUUAUUUUUCGCCUACUGCAACUGAGCGCUUAGGUUGUGACC